Molecule: unclassified non-coding RNA, 345 nt
Filed under: soil metagenome
Description: partial contains 5.8S ribosomal RNA, internal transcribed spacer 2, and large subunit ribosomal RNA
Rfam family: 5.8S ribosomal RNA (bases 1-120)
Source: RNAcentral
GAUGAAGAACGCAGCGAAAUGCGAUACGUAAUGUGAAUUGCAGAAUUCAGUGAAUCAUCGAGUCUUUGAACGCACAUUGCGCCCCCUGGUAUUCCGGGGGGCAUGCCUGCCCGAGCGUCAUUGCUGCCCUCAAGCACGGCUUGUGUGUUGGGCCUCCGUCCUCCUCCCGGGGGACGGGCCCGAAAGGCAGCGGCGGCACCGCGUCCGGUCCUCGAGCGUAUGGGGCUUCGUCACCCGCUCUUGUAGGCCCGGCCGGCGCUUGCCGACACAUCAAUCUUUUUUCCAGGUUGACCUCGGAUCAGGUAGGGAUACCCGCUGAACUUAAGCAUAUCAAUAAGCGGAGGA